GGGCAUAGGACAUUUGAGCGAAAAAGAAAAAAGCACAUAGGGUCAUUUGAGCGCCGACUUCAUAGGACAUUUGAGCGCCGGGAUAUUAACCUUACCUGAGUUUUCAGACAGGACAUUUGAGCGAAAUUUUCCCUGAUAAUUUUACACGAAUUAAGAUUUUUUUUUAAAAGUAAGAAAAAAAAAGUAAGAUUUAGUUAUAAAUAUUUUUUAUUUUAUUUCACACCCGAGUAAUUCGACCGGUUCUGGCUGGUUUAUGUAAGUGAAAUCCUAAGUUGAUCUCUAUUUACCAAUCAAUUCUACUAUAAUUCAUUGGCUAUGCAAAUUUUCUUUGUUCU
RNAcentral lists this long non-coding RNA (335 nucleotides) under Mytilus galloprovincialis (Mediterranean mussel). Lineage: Eukaryota; Metazoa; Mollusca; Bivalvia; Mytilida; Mytilidae. The record is from RNAcentral.